CAAACGACUCUCGGCAACGGAUAUCUCGGCUCUCGAUAUUGCAGAAUCCCGUGAACAUCGAGUCUUUGAACGCAAGUGGCGCCCGAAGCCGUCAGGCCGAGGGCACGUCUG
This 111-nucleotide ribosomal RNA is filed under the name Haldina cordifolia. RNAcentral's name for it is "5.8S ribosomal RNA". It matches the Rfam family "5.8S ribosomal RNA". From Rfam's summary of the family: 5.8S ribosomal RNA (5.8S rRNA) is a component of the large subunit of the eukaryotic ribosome. Lineage: Eukaryota; Viridiplantae; Streptophyta; Magnoliopsida; Gentianales; Rubiaceae. The record is from RNAcentral.